RNAcentral lists this ribosomal RNA (707 nucleotides) under Cryptosporidium canis. RNAcentral's name for it is "SSU rRNA". It matches the Rfam family "Eukaryotic small subunit ribosomal RNA", at positions 325 to 1065 of the family's 1831-position model. The record is from RNAcentral. Lineage: Eukaryota; Apicomplexa; Conoidasida; Eucoccidiorida; Cryptosporidiidae.
ACGGUAGGGUAUUGGCCUACCGUGGCAAUGACGGGUAACGGGGAAUUAGGGUUCGAUUCCGGAGAGGGAGCCUGAGAAACGGCUACCACAUCUAAGGAAGGCAGCAGGCGCGCAAAUUACCCAAUCCUAAUACAGGGAGGUAGUGACAAGAAAUAACAAUACAGGACUUUAACAGUUUUGUAAUUGGAAUGAGUUGAGUAUAAACCCCUUUACAAGUAUCAAUUGGAGGGCAAGUCUGGUGCCAGCAGCCGCGGUAAUUCCAGCUCCAAUAGCGUAUAUUAAAGUUGUUGCAGUUAAAAAGCUCGUAGUUGGAUUUCUGUUAAUAAUUUAUAUAUAAUAUUUAACAUAUUUAUAUAAUAUUAACAUAAUUCAUAUUACUAUUUAUAGUAUAUGAAACUUUACUUUGAGAAAAUUAGAGUGCUUAAAGCAGGCUUUUGCCUUGAAUACUAGAGCAUGGAAUAAUAUUAAAGAUUUUUAUCUUUCUUAUUGGUUCUAAGAUAGAAAUAAUGAUUAAUAGGGACAGUUGGGGGCAUUUGUAUUUAACAGUUAGAGGUGAAAUUCUUAGAUUUGUUAAAGACAAACUAAUGCGAAAGCAUUUGCCAAGGAUGUUUUCAUUAAUCAAGAACGAAAGUUAGGGGAUCGAAGACGAUCAGAUACCGUCGUAGUCUUAACCAUAAACUAUGCCAACUAGAGAUUGGAGGUUGUUC